Molecule: long non-coding RNA, 827 nt
Filed under: Capsella rubella
Lineage: Eukaryota; Viridiplantae; Streptophyta; Magnoliopsida; Brassicales; Brassicaceae
Description: long non-coding RNA (CRUB_LNC005132)
Source: RNAcentral
CCCAGUCCAAACAUAAAAAAAAAAGUUGAACUUUGUGGUGAAACGUGUGUUGUUGGUUUCUUAUUGGAAAAAGAGAACAUGAGCCUUACCUUUAUUUACGUGAUAGUCGUAGUUGUUAACAUUGUGGUAUUUGCAAUUACUGAUUGCUGUCCUCGUGACGGAGGUGAAAGGAGAGAAGCAUCUGGUGGUGACGAUGUCCCGGUGAAGGUAUAGUAGGCUAGUAGUGGUGGCGAGGACAACGGCGGAAGAUGUGGUGGUGACGGUUAGGGAUGCUAUUUGAGGUUUUUUUUUUUUUUUUUUUACUUUUAAUAUUAGGAUUAGUAAACUAUCUCAUACACUAGCUUUGUCGUGAUGUCCUAAACUUAAUUUCUUUUGGGCAAACAGAUUUACUUGAUUUUUAAUCCGCGUUCUCAAAUAUAAUUCUAACUCGUCCCGUUAUACAACACGUGUACGUUAUUUCUAAAACAAAAGAAAUUGUAAUCAGAAUCCUUUCGCACUUGAUUAGUAAUUGGAAACCGAAGCAUGUGGAACAACAGAGUAAUUGCUUGGUAACGGAUCUUCUUGUGCUGCAGGAUUUGAAGUGGUGAGACUCACUUUGACUUUCUUUAUGAAAUAGUUGGUGAUAGUUCUUUUGAUUCGACCAUUUAUUUUAAAAAAAAAAAAAAAAAAACUUCUUCAUUAAGAAUCCAAUAGAGUUUCAUGAUAUUUUUUCCGAAAAUUUUCAAACACAAGAAUUUCUCAAGUUUCAUUCAUGAACUUAAUACUUAUGUAUAUACUUUUUUUUUCCUAAAUACUUAUGUAUAUUUUUCUUAACGUUUUUCCUCAAA